UACAGAGGGGGCCAGCGUUAUUCGGAAUUAUUGGGCGUAAAGGGCGCGUAGGCGGCCAUGCGUGUCUCCCGUGAAAUCCCUCAGCUCAACCGAGGACGUGCGGAAGAAACUGCAAGGCUCGAGUCCGGAAGAGGGGGGCGGAAUUCCCAGUGUAGCGGUGAAAUGCGUAGAUAUUGGGAGGAACACCAGUGGCGAAGGCGGUCCCCUGGGCCGGAACUGACGCUGAGGCGCGAAAGCGUGGGUAGCAAACGGG
This 253-nucleotide ribosomal RNA is filed under the name uncultured bacterium. RNAcentral describes it as "partial 16S ribosomal RNA". It matches the Rfam family "Bacterial small subunit ribosomal RNA", at positions 524 to 776 of the family's 1533-position model. The record is from RNAcentral.